AGCUUUGCACAGUGGCAGUAUUGUAGCCAAUGAGGUUUAUCCAAGGUGCAAUUAUCGUUAAUUAAAACUUUUCACAAUAAUUUGCUGUUAUGACUUGCAAUAUAGUUAGCAAUGGCCAUCUUUGACCGUCUCUACAGAGA
This is a small nuclear RNA of Cebus imitator (Panamanian white-faced capuchin), 140 nucleotides long. Its record names the gene U4. It matches the Rfam family "U4 spliceosomal RNA". Rfam says of the family: U4 small nuclear RNA (U4 snRNA) is a component of the major U2-dependent spliceosome. The structure of U4 snRNA from yeast and human has been reported. NCBI's taxonomy places the organism in Eukaryota, Metazoa, Chordata, Mammalia, Primates, Cebidae. The record is from Ensembl.